This 1501-nucleotide unclassified non-coding RNA is filed under the name Hevea brasiliensis (rubber tree). The record is from RNAcentral. Lineage: Eukaryota; Viridiplantae; Streptophyta; Magnoliopsida; Malpighiales; Euphorbiaceae.
AUCAGGUAUAGUUGGUAGGAUGAAGCAUUAGUGGAUAUAGCAAGUGUGCCGGGGAUGCGGCUCGGGCGUAGUAGGUCUGGACGCCUAGCAUGAAACAGCCUUCUCUGGUAUGGUAGCGGCACUAUACCUUAGUAUAGUAUCUCUCUAGCUUCCAGUCUAUAUAAAACGUAGUUAGCAGAGAGGUAAGUCUGUCUGGCGUUCCCUCGCGUAAAGGGCGACUUUGGCAUCGGCUCUCUCUCGUUAGGUAAUUACCGAGGCGAAAGCAGCUCUCUCGGAAGUCAGUUUCCCCACCAUCUUAGUGGGACUAGUCUAAUAAACUUUCACUUGAACUUUCAAGACUCGGAUUUUUUUUGUUGUGGUAACGCUCUUCUAGAAUUACGUUUAACGUCCCUUUAUGGCUUUCCCGAUCGGCGCCUCGGGUCGGUAGCCGGGCUCCGGGACAUUACUACCACGGCUACUAUCGACCCGAGCCCAAAGAAAGAAAAGAACGGACUAAAGCGAGGAGUUCAUUGGCCAUACAUAGUGAAGGGGGAUGGGGGUCAACCUCUUUCAUGACCCAUGGCCCCAGUGUGUCACUUGGUUAGCAUUUCUAGAAUAAAUUGAGUAGGGUUGGUUUUUCGACAGGGAAACAGGGGAGUUGGCUGUAGUUGAGACAUGUUUUUCGGAUGGACGAUAUGGAUUUUUUCGAGAUGGUUAACUACUUUUUUAACCGUGAGAGGGAGGUCAUUCAGAACCCGCUGGCUCCAGAACCGGCGGAAGUUCCCCACGCCGAUCCCAUUUUUUUGAGCAAGUUCGGGAACAUUGUGAGAAGGGGAAGGGGCGGCUGUCCGUUCACUUUCCGGAAAUGGCAGAAAUCUACUCCAGUGUCGUAGAGAAGAUUAUGUCUCGCGAUCUGGAAAUAUCUGCGGAGAUGAAUACUGAAACCCUCAGCGGAUGGGUGGAGGAGAGAAAGGAGAACCCUAAUUAAUCUCUUAAAAUCCCUCAUUAGGGAACACCUGUAAGAUUAGUCUGCCGCUUUCUUUCAUAACAGAGCCGGGAAUAACGGCUGGCAUAGAAGUCUCUCGCACGCAAGGGGAUGCUGCUGCUGGAUGUCAUGGUUCUGGGGCGCCAUGAUUCUUCUCUCUGGAACAAAACAAUCGAGGGCACUGCCUUCCUUCAGCUUUCAGAGGUGGGGGCUGCAUCAAUCAUCGCUCAGUGAGCUAUUUAUUUUAUUGCCGCCAAUAGCGCUUCGCUUGCAUGCAAGGCGGCACGCCAGGUAGAGCUAUCGCGCGCGGGCGAAGGAGAUGCAUUUCUGGUACUGGUAGUACUGUACAAGCUCUUAGGGAAUAAUCUAUUUCUUAUUUCUGCCUUUCUUUCCCAUGACGACUAGGAACGGGCAAAUCAAAAAUUUCACUUUGAAUUUCGGACCUCAACAUCCUGCUGCUCAUGGUGUUUUACGAUUAGUAUUGGAAAUGAACGGAGAAGUGGUGGAACGUGCGGAACCACAUAUUGGAUUACUCCA